UACGGAGGGUGCGAGCGUUAUCCGGAAUCACUGGGUUUAAAGGGUGCGUAGGCGGCCCGGCAAGUCUGUCGUGAAAUUCCCCGGCUCAACCGGCGGGACUGCGAUGGAAACUGCCGGGCUUGAAUGGCGGCGGGGCCGGCGGAAUGUGGCAUGUAGCGGUGAAAUGCAUAGAUAUGCCAUAGAACACCGAUCGCGAAGGCAGCUGGCCAGCCGUGCAUUGACGCUGAGGCACGAAAGUGUGGGGAGCAAACAGG
RNAcentral lists this ribosomal RNA (254 nucleotides) under uncultured bacterium. RNAcentral describes it as "partial 16S ribosomal RNA". It matches the Rfam family "Bacterial small subunit ribosomal RNA", at positions 524 to 776 of the family's 1533-position model. The record is from RNAcentral.